Molecule: long non-coding RNA, 444 nt
Organism: Ipomoea nil (Japanese morning glory)
Lineage: Eukaryota; Viridiplantae; Streptophyta; Magnoliopsida; Solanales; Convolvulaceae
Exons: 2
Source: RefSeq, a predicted model, not a curated record
CAUUUACAAUCCUUUGUACAAAACAAAAAUAAGUUUCGAUUACAAGAGAUCUUUCUUAGCUUGUACAUUUACAAUCAUUUGUACAAAACAAAAAUAAGUUUCAAAUCAAAGAUUAAUGACUCGAUCCUUUAAACUGUUUGUCACUAUGUUCCUUUUGUUGGUCCUCCUUACUUCUACUGCUACGGUCACAAGACAAGCAGAGACAAGCCCAAUUAGGGUUGGAGAAGUGAAUGGUAAGGGCAAGAAGUGCUUUGGCAAUGUAAAGGACUGCAAUGAUGAUAAAUGUGAUGCAUUAUGCAAGAAACGAGGCUCUAAGGCAGGCAUGUGUGUGUACCCUGAUUGUUGUUGUGCAUGAUUGAAUACACAUAUAUCAUGUACUGUUUUGUAAUGUCCAGAGGAGUGUUUUAAAUAAAUAUGAAUAUUACUAAAGGACUUUUUUUAUAA